Molecule: ribosomal RNA, 486 nt
Filed under: uncultured bacterium
Lineage: Bacteria
Description: bacterial SSU rRNA
Rfam family: Bacterial small subunit ribosomal RNA
Source: RNAcentral
AGAGUUUGAUCCUGGCUCAGAAUCAACGCUGGCGGCGUGCCUAACACAUGCAAGUCGCACGAGAAAGGGUAGCAAUACCUGAGUAAAGUGGCGCACGGGUGAGUAACACGUGAAUUAUCUACCUCCGAGUGGGGAAUAACUGAGAGAAAUCUUAGCUAAUACCGCAUAACACUUACGAGUCAAAGCAGCAAUGCGCUUGGAGAGGAGUUCGCGGCAGAUUAGUUAGUUGGCGGGGUAAUGGCCCACCAAGACGAUGAUCUGUAUCCGGCCUGAGAGGGCGCACGGACACACUGGAACUGAAACACGGUCCAGACUCCUACGGGAGGCAGCAGUGGGGAAUUUUGCGCAAUGGGGGAAACCCUGACGCAGCAACGCCGCGUGGAGGAUGAAAUCCCUUGGGAUGUAAACUCCUUUCGAUAGGGAAGAUUAUGACGGUACCUAUAGAAGAAGCCCCGGCUAACUUCGUGCCAGCCGCCGCGGUAAUUC